Molecule: long non-coding RNA, 2352 nt
Filed under: Homo sapiens (human)
Lineage: Eukaryota; Metazoa; Chordata; Mammalia; Primates; Hominidae
Description: non-protein coding lnc-SGTB-1:4
Source: RNAcentral
AGCCGGCGGCCGUGGGUUCGCGUGCAAGGCGCGCCGUGAGGCCCACUCUGGCCCAGGCCCCUCGAGGCCUGCCCGCUGCUCCCUGCCCGCUCCCCGACCCCGCACUCCCGGACUCCCGAGCCCCCCAGGGUGGGGAACGCUGGCAACGCCGACCCUGCUGUCUGCUCGCGGCCCAGCGCCCAGCCAGAGAGAUAGAGAGCCCACAGGCCUCCGCCGCGCCGGCCGAUGGAGUUUCUUUGUACGACAGUAAUCGGUGCACAGGGGUUGUUGGAGUCCAGCCCUGAUUUGAAGGCAGCAGGUAUCUCUUGCAGCUGCAGCACUCCAACUUCCUCUAAUGGCACGGUCAGGUCGCAGGAAACCACAGCGGCAGCGCGGUGCAGCUUCCCACGCCCGCCCUUCGAGCUUGUUCCCCAGCGGCGCAGCUCAGCCUCCUCCAAGUCUCAGCCUCAUACCGGCGGGGAGACAAAGCUGGCGCUGGGAGUGGGAAAAGGGCCCGCGAAAUGGCCUCAAGAUCGUGCCUUUGUUAGAAGAAACAUGGAAAAGACGGCCUUGUUUUACCCAGAGAAGGAGCGUAAUGCGGAGCGAACCAUUCGUCACCCCCAUUCUCUGCUGCACUUAACUGUGUACAGUGAUGAUAAUUAGCCUCUGGGUCCCUGAAGUCCCUGGUUCAGUUCUUCCGUCUGUAUUCUAGAGAUAAUUAUUUAUUACCAAGUUUGAAUAAAGAGCUAUAUCCCCUACAGACCUUUUUUUUUUUUUUUUUUUUGGCUUGCCAAUGGAAAGAGUUCAUAAAUUCCACCAAGUAAUCAUUUACCAAAAUGAGUUGUACAUUAGUUGCAAACACUUGAAAUAACGCCGAAGAUAUUCAAGUCAUUUUAUUCAGGUUGGGAGCAUUUUUAACUACUUGAAGAACUGCUGGAAUUAAUACAGAUGUUAGGUUAUUUAGCAUACAGCAGAAGUUGAAGAUUUACAGGUAGUACUGAAGUGUUCAGAUAUAUUCAGUGCUGAAUUAGAGGUAAGAGUAUUCGCUGGAAGCUAGGAAAUGGCAGCAGCUAUGCCAGUGUUACCAAGCUGGAUAUCUAUGUGAAAAUGAAUCUUAACCAUUGCAUAAAAAGCUAAAGUUAGCAUAUUGUACAAGCUAUUUGUAAUCAUCGCUGGGAAGAUUUCUUGCUCCGUUUUCAAAAACCGUUUUGCGCCUGAUCAGAACUCAGUGGCAUAGCUCUGAACUGAAAGGGUCACUCUCCUAAAGCAUCCCAGGAUGGAAUAUCUCCCAUACUAGUGGAAAACCAGCUAGAUUCUGGGAUUCCAGUGUUGCUUCUAAUCUCAGGUUGAUUCGAGACCCCUUUAAAUGUGAUGCCAUAGAUUCGAGUAAACCUAACCCUCCUCUCUAAACUUAACUGAUCAAGCCACUGCUUUAGGCUAAGACUUGCCCUGGUCCUAGCCUUUUUAAAAUUUAUACUCACACUCAGGACCAAUCUGACAGACUACCAUCUAGGCUAGAAAAGUACCUAUAAUCAAAAACCCUCCAACUCACCUGAAAUUCUGCCAUUAGAGUUUUAUCCCUUUAAGUAGUUUUUUUCUCUAGCACAAAACCAUAAUCCUGGGAAAAGUAAUAUUUUAAUCCUUAUUAGUCAUUUAUACCUAAUUCAUCAGAUUGUUUCCCCAAAGCAGCUUUUGUUGGAAGGGAAAAAUAGAGAUAACUAGAGAUAACAUAUGCUGAGGCUGAGUUGAUAGGAGACGGAAAUAUAGUCUCAUUCCUUGGAGCGUUAUAUAGAGAGUAGAGGAUUACAGGCAAUAAAAGGACCCUUUUGAUGGCUAAAUAAGUCCUGCUUACUCAUACUGUAAGAAUGAGCCACCUAAUACACUGGCCUUAAGAGGAUGGAAUCUGGCCGGUUGCAGUGGCUCGCACCUGUAAUCCCAGCACUUUGGAGGCUGAGGCGGGAGGAUUGCUUGAGCCUAGGGGUUCAAGAUCAGCCUGGACAACAUGGUGAGACCUUGUCUCUACAAAACCAAGAAAGGAGGAUGGAAUCCAGGAUACACUUGUCAAUACAGUUGACCCUUGAAUAAUAUGGAAUUUAGGGGCACCAACCAACUAUGUGAGCAUAUAACAUUUGACUCUCCCAAAACUGAACAACUACUAAUAAGCCUACUACUGACCAGAAGCCUGAUAACAUAAAACAGUUGAUUAACACAUUGCUUGUAUCUUAUAUGUAUUAUGUACUGUCUUCCUACAGUAAGUAGAGAAAUAAAUGUUAUUAAGAAAAUCAUAAGGAAGAGAAACUACAUUCACAGUAAUGUACUAUGUCCAUACCAUAAGUUUACAUUGUCUGUUUACAAGAUGAAUUGUCUGUCUGA